AGUUUUGCUGGAGGCAUUAGUGCAACAGAAUCUGAACUUCAGUGCAGACAAAUGGGACAUUGAACAUACUUUUCCUUGAAAGAAAUCCAUCAGUGAAAAGGGACAACCGCGGAGGUGAUGUCUUCGAACGUGGUAAAGGGCCUCUAUCUGCAAGCUGGCAUUAAGAUACCAGCAGCUUUAGAUACCACUGUGAUGGGCAACCUUGAAAUACCAAGAGCGGCAAGCAGCAUACCACAUCUUCAUUUUUAGCUCUUUUCCAUACUCUGCUCUGUUUCCCUGGAGAGGAACGAGGCCCAGAAUUCAAGCCAGUCUUCCUAAGUGAGGGACCCGCUCAAAACUGCUCACUGAUGGACAGUAGGUCUUGCCUGUCACUCUUGCUGUUAUGGCAGGAGGUAUUGCAAUGGUGACCAAGCUAUGUCCAGGUUAUGCCUUUCUUCAGAUACUAAGGACUGCAGGCUUCGAGCUGCGCUGUUUGGAAGAAGCAACGUCGUCGUCUCUCACAGCUACGACGCGGCACUGCUCUCAGCAUAUCCUGCUUUUUCCCCCCAUUUACCUGGGCGGCUUCUGCUGUCUCUGUUGCUGCUGCUGGGGCUGCUGCAGUUUCGCUGCCUGUGCUUCACCCUGGCAUGUCUGAGUCGGGAAUCACUCGUCUGCACGCUGCUAAGGAAGAGCAGCGAUGGAACUCUGGCCACAUUUUUUUUUUCUGUUGGUGCUGGAAGAGAAGGGUUGUGA
Molecule: long non-coding RNA, 732 nt
Filed under: Chrysemys picta bellii (western painted turtle)
Lineage: Eukaryota; Metazoa; Chordata; Testudines; Emydidae
Description: lncRNA (ENSCPBG00000006861.1)
Source: RNAcentral